GGCGUAAAGCGUGGUUAAAAGAAUACUAAAAACUAGGGCCGAAUAGCCUCAAAGCAGUUAUACGCACUCGAGACCACGAAGUACAAUUACGAAAGUAGCUCUACCCUACUUUGACUCCACGAAAACCAUAAAACAAACUGGGAUUAGAUACCCCACUAUGUAUGGCUGUUAACAUCGAGGGCCCGAUACUCAGACCCUCCGCCUGGGUACUACGAGCACUAGCUUAAAACCCAAAGGACUUGGCGGUGCUUUACCCCCCACUAGAGGAGCCUGUUCUAGAACUGAUAACCCCCGUUGAACCUCACCAUCCCUCGUUUAACCCGCCUAUAUACCGCCGUCGUCAGCUUACCCUGUGAAGGCCAAAUAGUAAGCAAAAAUGGCUAAGCCAAAAACGUCAGGUCGAGGUGUAGUGAAUGGGAUGGGAAGAAUGGGCUACAUUCUCUGUUACAGAGAAUACGAAUGGCAGCCUGAAAACCCUGCCUGAAGGUGGAUUUAGCAGUAAGGGGGGAAUAGAGUGCCCCCCUGAAA
Molecule: ribosomal RNA, 528 nt
Filed under: Merluccius bilinearis (silver hake)
Lineage: Eukaryota; Metazoa; Chordata; Actinopteri; Gadiformes; Merlucciidae
Description: partial 12S ribosomal RNA
Rfam family: Bacterial small subunit ribosomal RNA
Source: RNAcentral